CAAACGACUCUCGGCAACGGAUAUCUCGGCUCACGCAUCGAUGAAGAACGUAGCAAAAUGCGAUACUUGGUGUGAAUUGCAGAAUCCCGUGAACCAUCGAGUUUUUGAACGCAAGUUGCGCCCGAAGCCGUUCGGCCGAGGGCACGUCUGCCUGGGCGUCACGC
This 164-nucleotide ribosomal RNA is filed under the name Anastraphia parvifolia. RNAcentral describes it as "5.8S ribosomal RNA". It matches the Rfam family "5.8S ribosomal RNA". From Rfam's summary of the family: 5.8S ribosomal RNA (5.8S rRNA) is a component of the large subunit of the eukaryotic ribosome. It is transcribed by RNA polymerase I as part of the 45S precursor that also contains 18S and 28S rRNA. The record is from RNAcentral. Lineage: Eukaryota; Viridiplantae; Streptophyta; Magnoliopsida; Asterales; Asteraceae. RNAcentral also lists the same sequence under 1 other name.